RNAcentral lists this ribosomal RNA (492 nucleotides) under uncultured bacterium. RNAcentral's name for it is "partial 16S ribosomal RNA". It matches the Rfam family "Bacterial small subunit ribosomal RNA", at positions 29 to 507 of the family's 1533-position model. The record is from RNAcentral.
AUUGAACGCUGGCGGCAUGCUUUACACAUGCAAGUCGAACGGUAACAGGCCUUCGGGUGCUGACGAGUGGCGAACGGGGGAGUAAUGCAUCGGAACGUACCCAGAGGUGGGGGAUAACGCAGCGAAAGUUGUGCUAAUACCGCAUGUGAUCUGAGGAUGAAAGCGGGGGACCGAGCAGCAAUGUUUGGCCUCGCGCCUUUGGAGCGGCCGAUGUCGGAUUAGCUAGUUGGUGGGGUAAAGGCCUACCAAGGCGACGAUCCGUAGCUGGUCUGAGAGGACGACCAGCCACACUGGGACUGAGACACGGCCCAGACUCCUACGGGAGGCAGCAGUGGGGAAUUUUGGACAAUGGGCGCAAGCCUGAUCCAGCCAUGCCGCGUGCGGGAAGAAGGCCUUCGGGUUGUAAACCGCUUUUGGCAGGAACGAAACGGUGUCCGCUAAUACCGGGCGCUAAUGACGGUACCUGCAGAAUAAGCACCGGCUAACUACGUG